This 111-nucleotide small RNA is filed under the name Lagierella massiliensis. RNAcentral describes it as "Ribosomal protein L10 leader". It matches the Rfam family "Ribosomal protein L10 leader", at positions 11 to 134 of the family's 138-position model. Rfam says of the family: This family is a putative r-protein leader autoregulatory structure found in B. subtilis and other low-GC Gram-positive bacteria. It is located in the 5' untranslated regions of mRNAs encoding ribosomal proteins L10 and L12 (rplJ-rplL). Lineage: Bacteria; Bacillati; Bacillota; Tissierellia; Tissierellales; Peptoniphilaceae. The record is from RNAcentral.
AAUUAAAUACUGCCAAAGACAGUAGGUGUAAAAAACUUAAUUUCCUACCGAGGUGGAUAAGAUUGAAAUAUAUAUCUUUCUGCCUUAUUAGGUAGAAAGAUUUUUUUAUAU